This is a non-coding RNA of Camelina sativa (false flax), 1955 nucleotides long. Lineage: Eukaryota; Viridiplantae; Streptophyta; Magnoliopsida; Brassicales; Brassicaceae. The record is from RefSeq and is a predicted model, not a curated record.
CUACAACAAAUAUUCACAUUAAUAGCACAUGACGAUAGCUCAUUUUCCACAACUGCUAUGAUAGAGUAAUUAUUUUUUCGAUUGUUCUAUAAUAACACUAAAACAAUGCUAAGAAACCAAAUCACAUAUUCCGCCAACAUUUGCUCGAAAAUAUUGAGUUAAGCGCCAUAACUUAGAAAAUAUUAACUUAAGCGCCACAAUUUUUCCUUUCUUUUACAUUGGUUUGGAGACAAAAAUGAAAAAAAGAAAAAUUUCGACCAAAAGAAAAACAGUUCUUGAGGAAACCAUCUUCUUCUCCCUCCAUCCUCCUCGCAGAUCUACUCCGCCGUUGUUGCUGAACCAUCUCUCCCACCCUCUUCCAUCUUAGCCACCUCAUCCAUCUCCAAUUCCUACGACCCAGCUCACCCAAACCCUAAAUCGAAAUUUUGGUUGAUUUAGGGUUUAUGCCUCAUCUUCCCCGUCUCUCUCUCACCUCAUUGGCUCUCUCAGUGAGGAGCCCGAUUCCAGUUUAGGGUUUAUGCCUCAUCUUCCUCGUUUCUCCCUUUCUCUCUUCGUAGCCAGCCACCACCAUGGAUUCUCGAGCUAUACUCGAUUCCGCUUUGUUUCAACUCACUCCUACUCGCACGAGAGUCGAUCUGGGCUCUUCUGUGAGAGUAAGAAGCAUAAGCUAGCUUCUAGAAUUUCAAACCUUUCGUCUCUCAUCUCCAAUUUGCUAGAGAUCAGAUCUCUAAAGGAGGUUACUCCAUCUCUCUUCAUCCUCCUUCUUUUCACUCUCCUUGGUUCACCAAAUCCACUUUUGAUCGAUUUGUAAACACGCCUGCGAUAAUCGAGAGAUUUGCGAAUCUGGAGAAAGAGAUCUUGUAGAUUGAGCAUUCUAUUCAAGCUAAUGAAAACGCCAAUGCUGCUGCUGAUGCUGAGCAAUUACAAACACAAGAUGGUGAAGCUAAUUCUGGAGUAAGUAGUAAUCUAAGGAAGUCGAACGAGUUAUUCAAGAAGGUAUUUGAGAAUGGCAAUGAGGUUACAGGAGAGGAAACCUCAAACUUCAACGUCUUCUUGAAACACAUAGGACAUUGCUACUGUAGGAUUUCGAUAAGUUUUGGUGGUUGCAGUGAAAGCCGUGCAGUAGAUACAGAGUCACUAUGUGUUCUAGCCGGAAAGGUGGUCUGGUCUGUUUGCAUUGAUGUUCACAUUUUUGACAAUGGAAUUGGCUGCAUUUCUUCUUCAUGUUCAGAGCUAUGGUGCAAGGCAGUGCAAGUGUGGAUCAGAGGACCUUGCUCUGUCCAUGACAUCAACUCUUACUCUCUCUCUCUCUCGGAACAAAUUGUAAAUGGUAACAUUUUUUUCCUUCUUCUUAUCUGAGUCAUUGCUUGACCUACUUAGUAGGAGUUGCUCAUGCUUCAUUUGAGUACAUCAAGUUCAUAAUGUGAGUUGGAAUAUCUUAUUGGAAGUUUUGGUAGUCUUGUGAAGGUUUGGAAUAUAUCUUAUUGCUCUGCUUGUUUUAUCCGUUUCAUUAUGUUUUUGUGUUUAUGUCUUGGUAUAGGUUCCCACAUUGCCUAUAUCUGUUAGUUGUCUAUUUGAACAUGUUGUAACGUUGAAUAAUAAGGUUUGUAGGUUUCCGCUCAUGUAUAGGUAACACUUACAAUUUAUGGUUUAUUUAUCUCUAUGUGAUUGCUAUGUGCUUAUAGGGUUAAUGGCAUAUUGUGGCUUCUCACGAUUCUUUUGUUUCAUAUGAGCAGAUAUAUAUGGAGAGGAUAACUAACAUGUCUUUUUCAUACAUUCAAAGUGAACUAGUAGCUGUUCAAUGGACUAUUUCAAGAAACGCUAAGUGAGCAGCUAAAAGAGAGUCUUUGCUACAACAAGUAAGAAAGGCUGGGUUACAUGUACAUGUCAUGUUAGUUUUAUUGUUAGUUUUAUUUUGUUUAAGACUUGGUGACACUUUGUUAUGUAAGACUUAU